Molecule: long non-coding RNA, 1402 nt
Organism: Aedes albopictus (Asian tiger mosquito)
Lineage: Eukaryota; Metazoa; Arthropoda; Insecta; Diptera; Culicidae
Exons: 2
Source: RefSeq, a predicted model, not a curated record
CCCUCGACACCCUCGCCAAGGACCUCUUUCGCUAGAUUCUUGUGCUCUUUGUCACGCUUGUGCUCGAGGAUCAUUUCACCUGUACUAAAGCCUGUCCACGUUAAAUUUCGGACACCUAAAAACGGCAGAAUCUCAAAAACUAUGUUAAAACCGUCAAAUAAAACACUAAUCAAACAUGAAGGUAUGCACGAUUUAAUCUUCAACCAUAAGGUUUCAACCACCCUAUGUACAUGGAUUAGUAUCAUCGUUGGCUCUGAUCGUAGGCCAAUAAUAUAUCCGAUCACAGUGAGUGACCUCCCGGAUGAGAGACCUGAGUAACUAUCAGUUUGAUUAAAACACGGUUCAAUUCGUCUUCAGGGGGCUGUGUUUAUAUGUAAAAAAUGCGAAAAUCAAUUUAAAAAGUAGACAAUUUUUGAAAGUACUAACAUUGUUAUGACCUCAAAAGCUUCAAAAAUUACAUUAACAAUUCGAAAAUGAUUUUUCAUUGGGGCCGAACUGACUUGAUCGAUUUUUCUUCAUCGAUUUUCUCUUUCGCUAAACAAAAUAAAUCAUUAUUCUUCAAGUUUGUAUAGAAAGCAGUAGUUGUCUACUUCGUGUUUUAACCAAAAAACGCAAAACACGUUCUAUGUUUAAUAACACAAAGAAAGGAUCGUUGAAAUCCACAAUGUCAGUUGGACCCUAAUAAAAAAUCAUUGUCGCAUUGUUACUGGUGUUUUCAAUUUCAUAAGAAUAAUUUUCUCAGUGUAGGUAAAAGAAGAUUACCUUGGUGCCACAUCUAGAGAACAACAGAAAGACUCCAGAUGCAUUUCAACAUUUCCUCGUUGGGAAACGUUCACUGAUAUCUCGAAAGAUGGAAAAAUAAACCAAAUGAAUAAUGCAGGCAACUGUCUCAAGACAACCAAUUAAUACUUUAUGUGCCUCCUUUGGAGAUAUCCCUUCCACUAACAACACCCAAAUUCCUGUGACACCUAGCCCUGAGGGAUCGUAGAGCUGUUUACAUCUUUCAUAGGUGACCAAAACUAAAAUUCUCUCCCAUUCCUCAGUAGUCGCAAGGACGUGGCCAGGACAGUUUUCGACCAUUCGAGGAUUACGUCAGUCUUGUCUAUGAGUCAGAGAUUAGUCCCAAACCUUUGUGCUUUGGUUCUGACGGGAAGGAGGCAACCCUCAUAACAGCGGUCUAGGACUGUACCAUCUACGAAUUAAUGCUAAUACUAACUGCUGAGGCGGAAUUCGUUGCCAUUUCGGAAGCCACACUGGAAAUGAUGUGACUGAAGCGUCAUCUGAAGGACUUCAACGAGGAUUAGAGGCCACGUGUUGAGGAGGAGUGUUCGUGCAUUCUUUAUUGCAUUGCUUUAUUACAUUGCCGGUUUCCUUUUAUAAGACAUGCAGCUAUCGGACGCAA